Molecule: unclassified non-coding RNA, 209 nt
Filed under: soil metagenome
Description: partial contains 5.8S ribosomal RNA, internal transcribed spacer 2, and large subunit ribosomal RNA
Source: RNAcentral
AACCUAGCACACCUGCGGUGUGUACCUGCGGAAGGAUCAUUACCGAGUUUACAACUCCCAAACCCCUGUGAACAUACCUAUACGUUGCCUCGGCGGAUCAGCCCGCGCCCUGUAAAAAGGGACGGCCCGCCCGAGGACCCUAAACUCUGUUUUUAGUGGAACUUCUGAGUAAAACAAACAAAUAAAUCAAAACUUUCAACAACGGAUCU